UCCUUCGAGCCGCACAGUCCAAUCCCCAUCGAUGCUGAGGAUGAAUCGAGCCGGCAGACAAGAGCAUCGGUGCGGCCGGUUCGAUUCUGUACUGUCGCACGCGCAGGUGCGGCCGAGCCACCACAGAGCGCCAUCGAUGCCGACGAUGAGUCGAGCCAGCGGACAGAUCGGUGUGGCCGGUUCGAUUCGGUUUCCCGUUCGAUCUGCGUAACGAUUCCAUUGUUUCUUCUUACCGCUCCUAUCUUCUUCCUCCUAUUCCAUUUGGUUCUUCCGAUCUGAAUAUUGCUCGAAAAGAUAGAGGACUAGGAUCUCGUUUUGUUCACAAAUUGCGUUCAUGUUUUUUUUGCAGGAUCAAUUGAUACGCAGGAUUACAAGAAGUUUACCGUGGUGUGAUUGGCCGAACAGUGAAUCUCCAGUUGUGGUAGCACUUCCUGAAUGUAUAUCAUAUCCUCCCUCUCUCUCUCUCUUCACUCCAAAUUCCUGUCAGAAGUACCGGUCUGAUUGGUGCUACAACAGGGCAUAUACAAGCUGGAGAUAUUUGGAUGUUCUAAUUUACUGCCAUAUGCCGCUGAUUUUAGAAGAAAUUUUAUAAGUUAUCACUUUAGUUAACUUGCUGUAGGAUAAUUAUGUGAUGCAACUAGACAUGGUACUGAAUAAUCAGAAUUGUACUUUUCGGUGGUUGAAUAGAAGCAUACAUAUUAUUAGACGUGAUGAUGUACUCCUGUGAGGCUAAUUGGCUAUUUAUUUCUUUUUCUUUCUACUUUGAACACAAAUGUAGUUCUUGUAGAGCUGAGUUUGAUGGACAAUCUCCAAGAUUCACAAACCACAAGAGCUACGAGAGUUCACAUUCAGGUUUACUUUGCUUCUCCAUGGCUACCACUGUGGCAUUGCUCAUUGAGUUUGAUACAAAUUGUGGUUUAGAUUAUGAAUAAGCCCUUUUUAGGAUCCUUAGUGCCUAUAUAAAUAUGUUCUUGCUUAUAGUAAUAUAAUACUGCAAUGGCUAAGUUAAGGUGAUGCUUGUGCUUUUCUUUCUAUAUAUUAUAUGCAGGUUCAGUUCGUCUCCGCCAAGGUACUGCUUGUACGACUGUCUUGAUGAUUGACAACGGAUAAAGAAUGGACGUUGGUGUGGGUAAAUUAAUGCAGCCAGUUUUGGUUGUGAGGUUCUAUAUGGAGAAAUGGCUAGACCUAAGCUCUCAUCAAACUUUUUGGCGGCACCUUUGAUGAAAUUAUUUGAGAUCCCAACAACCACUUUGUUUCUCUAUUGCCUUCAAGCUUAUCUUGCUUUCCCUCUCCCUGCUCCCAUUCACUUAUCUAUGUUAUUAUUGUUUUGUUGAUGUCACUAAUUUCUAUACCAAUGGACACGGCAAUAUGCAACGAGCCGGAGAGUGAAAUUAGAAAGAAUUAAGUCAAAAGAACCGACCGAGUGAUGUAAUAAUAAAAUCAGUACACAAAUGGCAUUUCCAAAUUUCUGUAGAAGCAAAGUAAAAAAGGAAUGAUGUACUGUACUCGUAUUAUUCAAGGAACUAUCUCAAAAGAGAAUAUUUUAGUAAUUCCACAAUUGAAAAAUUGUAUUUGAUGGAAUUGUCAAAUAUGACCUUGAAGUAUCAAGUGUAUAGUUUGCUUUAGAAUUUGCUAAUUCAAUAUUACUUAAUUUUGCAAUUCCACAAUAUUUUUAAAUGCACUGUACACUAUUAUUCGGAAAGGUUCUUUACAUAUGAGUAGAUCACAUUAACAUUGCUGUUAUUUAUGUUGAAGCUAGACGACACGUUUCUUUAUUUUGUAAGCUGUUAUGAGAUCAAUGGUUAGGUUAAAUGAUAUGAUUAUAGUCAAAAGGGUGAUGAUUGUACAAUUUCGUGAUGUUUCUUAUACGCGUGUCGAUCACCCAUGAUAUGAUUAUAUUUAUUAAUCCAGAUGCAUUUCUGUAGUCCCAUAUCGCUAAAACGAUAUUGUUUUAUUCAUAGUAUAUAUUCCGCACUCAUUGAAAUAAACUUGGCUAAUAUGUCUUGUUUCAUAGCUAAUUUUGUACUUUCAGUUUCACAUGACUAUGACUGGAUCAUGGAUUAAGAAGCUGGUACGGCCAGACUUGGUGUUUACAUGGGUCGUUCUGAUCUAGAAACUUUUGUGCAACAGAACCAAUGUCCAUGAAAGGUGCAACUUAGUCGCUUGCAAGGAAUUUUUGGAGAGAAAUGAAACUUCUAGGUCAACUGAUUUUUUUUGUUUCCUGUGAUAAUAGUUGUUUAACUGAGGAUCCAUGUUUGUAUUCUCAUUUUGGAUAUGGACAAUGAUGUCUCUGAUAUGUUACAUUAUAAACUAUUGAAGUAUAUGACUGGAACACUGGGCGAUGCAUUUGUUGAUGUUAA
This is a long non-coding RNA of Hordeum vulgare subsp. vulgare (domesticated barley), 2360 nucleotides long. RefSeq lists it as uncharacterized. NCBI's taxonomy places the organism in Eukaryota, Viridiplantae, Streptophyta, Magnoliopsida, Poales, Poaceae. The transcript has 2 exons. The record is from RefSeq and is a predicted model, not a curated record.